Molecule: RNA transcript, 4979 nt
Organism: Exaiptasia diaphana
Lineage: Eukaryota; Metazoa; Cnidaria; Anthozoa; Actiniaria; Aiptasiidae
Exons: 2
Source: RefSeq, a predicted model, not a curated record
AGCAAAUGAUCCCCCCAACAUAGCGAAAAUGCAAAGCUGGUCUUCCUGUGGAAUAUAUAUUUGUUUCCGGUUUUCGAUCGAUGGCAACUGGAUUCAUCACAUUUCUCCUGCUACUAGGUGGAUGCUUUGAUGUGAUGGACGUCUUGAAUCGGUUGGCAAGCCUUGCGAUAUUCAUUCAAAUGCUAUCAUUGGCAUUCACACGAGCGCAAAGUAAAGAUGUGUUCGUAUCUCAAAUGAAAGGAAACGACAUCUCAUCGUGUGGUUCUGACUCGAACCCAUGUAAGACCAUUUCAAUGGGRAUACGRCAAGCGAACGAAUAUGCACGAAUAUACGUGGAUGGCGAAGGAUCAUCAGCAAAGCCCUACACUUGCAAAUCGCCCAGUUUAGAGUUUSCAGGAAUUUAUACCAACAAGAAUCUGGAAAUCAUUGGUGUCCGGUCAAUCGUAUACGUCAAAUGUCAAGAGGGGUACGGKAUAAAAUUUGAUAAGUCCGACCAGAAUGAGACCAUGGUUAGUGUUAGCAAUGUCAAGUUCAUCAAUUCUACCAUACAAGCUCAGGAUAUAGGUCUUAAUGUAACGAACUGUAUCUWUACUGAUGGAGUUCAAGCUAUGAAUGUGGUUCAGUUUAGUAGGCCCAUUACCGUUUCUUUUUCUGAGUCCCUGUGCGUCAAUAUCAGUUCUUGCAUUGCAGUGAAUGUKAACAAGAAUGUCGYUCCAUUAAAUAAAACAWUCAUUUCCUUAGAAAACAGCAGCAUAUUAAAAUCAUGGCCGCAGAAAGGCCCUUCGUUGCAAGCAUCAGGAAUUCACGUAACGUCAAGCGGUAAAUAUGAUCCUGGUUCAAUCACGUGUAACAUUGCACUCACAAAUGUAACUUUUAAAGACAACACGAUAGCAGAAAAUGGCUUAAUMUUUGUUAAUUUGAAGAAUGCAGUCACGGUGUUAUAUCUUUAUCAUWGUUUCUUUCUUGAGAGCAAUAUUACAGCAAACUUUGCGAGUAUUAUAAAAAUCAAGAACACCUUUAUCAAUAGCAUGAWUCUGUUCGACACAACUUUUUGUCAGAAUUAUCAAGGAUUUUCAAGUGCAAUAGACAUCAGCACCAACAGAAGUACUGUGCACAUUUCCAAGACUCGAUUUGRAAAGUUCAAWGUGGGAUUUGAUUUUGCAGUGUUACAUUUGCAAUCUGAGAAGGACUGUAACUUAACUAUGACAAAUGUCACGUUUGCUGAAAACAUUAAGGAAGGUAUGGAAGGAGGAAAUGGAGGRUGUUUAUCUCUUCGUAGUCGCACYGCAAUCGUGAAGGUUCAAGGYUCGUACUUUUACAACAACCGGGCUGGAUGCGCAGGAAUUUUUUUGCUAAAUGUAAAAGAUCAUGUGUCUGUAGGCAUUCAAAACUGCUUCUUCACGUCAAACGCAGCAUUCGGGCCCGGAGGUAUAGCUAAUAUCCAAGGUAAAGAAGCAAUCGUUGAAAUGUUAGAGUGCAACGUGAAAGGCACCAUUACUAAUGAACCAGGCGGGCUUUUUGACAUUGGAAAUAAGGGCUGUGGUCGUUCUAAGAAUAUGUACAAUGCAACUUUAGUUAUCCAAAGUACUGAAAUAGUUUCGAGCGGUAGUUUGAGAGGUGAAGGUGGAGUCGCAGCAAUUCUAGCGAACUUCGGUUCAAUUACGAUACAAGACAGUACGAUAACCAAUGUAUCAUCAUUAGUAGAAGGUGGAGUUAUCUGUGCAAGGUGGUCUUUUAAUUACCCACCCUACGACCCCGAGGAAGGAUAUAACAUAAGAAUAAUCAAUUCGACGUUUAGCAAUAUUCGUAAUAGAGGAUCAACGGGAGUACUAUUGUAUUCUAACGGUAUUAAAAGCCUUGAAGUAGAGAGUUCAAUACUUCAUACCAUUUCAUCGGGGGGAACAGGAAGUACCAUCUAUCUUGACUCGACUCAAAACGCUUCAAUUUCCAUCAACAAUACGUCAAUAAAAAACUACACGGGUUAUGGUUCCGCGUUAACKAUUUUUAUAACAGCAAAAGUGACUUUGAGAGUAGCAAACUCUAUUUUCGAGUCGAACACAGCUCUUGAAGGUACAGGGGCCUGUAUGUCCAUGACCACCGUAUCUGGUGACGUGCUCUUUUGGAACGUAACAUUCAAUCAUUGCAUCAGCACGACUAAAAUGGGGGGCGCUAUGUAUUUUACAAUGCCAAGAGGCAAGAUUUCUAUUAUAUCGAGCAGAUUCUUGAAUAACAGAGCAGAAAAUGGGGGAGCACUUGCAUUCAGUAUGUUAAUAGAUGAACUAAUAAAACCUGCAUGUAAUGGCGGGCAUAGAACAUGGAAUUAUAAAACACAUGUGCUAAUUGAAAACUCAUUCUUUAUCAAUAACACUGCCUUCGAAGGUGGUUCGCUAUCCUUUUCCAGAGGCAAUCACACUAUCCAAAGAAGUUUAUUUGUCGAUAACUUUGCAAUGGGUCGAGGUGGGCACAUUUCUAUGACUUCAGAUUCAACAAGUCUACGAAUAACUGGCUCCGAAUUUCAACAGAAAAAAUUAAAAAAAGUCGUUUACUUUCGAAACAWCGUAGACAAUAGUCAAAACGUUGAAUCGCACGAGAAGAAAGAGAUCUAUGGUUUGAGUGUUGGCUCCUUUAUUAGCUCACAAAGUCAAGGGCCAUUGGUGAUUCUAAAUUCAACUCUAGAAUCUAUGUUGUACAGUAAUGAAGAACCCCAAGAAUUGGUCUUUAUUUCAAAUGGUAAUUACAUAAAUUUUGGCGAAAAUAACCAAACCGUAAUCAAAUGCCCAAAAGGAAGUGAUAUCARYACACAGAGUUACACCUCMAAAAUAGCCACAGAGUAUAAAUCAAMACCAUGCAAUAUCGAUGUGAGGUUCUUGAUCUUUACCUGUAAACCAUGCCCAACAGGCAAAUAUAGUCUACAGCAUGGCCAAAGUAUGGGAAUGACUAAGGUCAGCGGUUUUAAGUGUUUGCCAUGCCCAUUCGGAGCUGAAUGUCAAAACAGACUGAGAGCAAAACCGAACUAUUGGGGAUACAAAGUCAAAGAUAAUCCGCCAGAAAUGAACUUCACUGCUUGUCCUUCAGGUUAUUGUAAAAGACCAGAUACCGAGGACUUUAAUGAGUUUAACAGUUGCCAAGGCAACAGAAAUGGUACGCUAUGUGGUCGAUGUAAAAAUAACUAUUCUGAAACUCUCGUGUCACCAUCUUGUCGUCUUGACGACGAAUGUCAUGACAACUGGUUAUGGGGUGUGAUGGUUUCCAUGGUAAUGUUAAUGGCGCUGUACUCGAUCUAUAAGCCAAAUAUCCCGAGCAUGCUCAAGAGACAUAUUUUGUGGUUCCAAUGUCGUCAUGGAAACAAASACGAUGACACAGGCAGCAGUGGAUWCUUAAAAAUUGUUUUCUACUUUUACCAAGUGGCAAACUUGGUUCUCGUUACAACUUCAAGUCACAACGUCAUCAAGUCGUACUUUUUGCAACCAGUGGUGGGAAUUUUUAACUUCCAAUUCGCUUUGGGCCCUCGAACGGUCUGCUUUGUCCUUUACCUGGUCUUACUGCUGUAACUAAACAGCUUCUCUUUGCCAGUCAAGUGUUUGGAGUCGUCUUCAUGAUUGCUGUAUGCUACUGCUGCCAUCGGUUACUGCGCAAAUGCAGGUCCAGGCCACCUCCAAACCUUGGACCCUACCUCGCUGCUGUUCUGGAAACCGUGUUGCUAGGAUACGCUGUAUAUACAACCACCGCCCUUAAACUGUUGCGAUGUUCGUCAUUAGACGGAGAUUUACGACUGUUUAUCGAUGCYAGUGUGAAGUGUUACYARUGGUGGCAGUACCUACUGAUGGUMUUUGCUGGACUCGUCGUAUUUCCUUUCAUUCUUACACUCGCAGUUGGUUCUCAAUGGCUUUACAAAGGAACUAUUUCUGUUAAGGAAUUUCUCCUUGGUUGUCUUCUUCCUCUACCUUACUUGAUGUACAAGCUGAUUUCAUUGUUGCGUGGACCCCACGUAGUAAACGAAGAACCACGCGAGUGGAAAGUGUCAGUCACAAGCGUGUUGUAUGGCCCCUUUCGAGCUCCGCAAGAUAAAAGCAUUGGUGCCGUGUAUUGGGAAAGCAUCUUGAUAUCCAGGAAACUACUUAUCAUUGCAAUCUACGUGUUUAUCACAGAUCCCUURACCAGGCAGCUCUCGUUAGUGUUAGCUUGUGUUAUAAUACUCUUCCAUCACAACACUGUGCGACCAUUUCAUCGGAUGGAUGCCAAUAUCUGUGAAACGAUCUCCUUGUUUGGCCUUAUUAUCAUAGCAACGAUUAACGCUUUCAAAGCAAGYUUUCUCUCGAUUGGAGAAGAACCAGGAGGYCCACUACAAACAUUGAUACAAGUCUUGGAAUGGGUCCAAAUAGUCAUAUUAAUUACUCUUCCUGSUCUUUGCAUUUUAGCUGUUAUAGCAGCCAUUUUGUCCCAAUUAAUUCGAUUGAUUGUCAAAAUCUGUUCUUUUAUCAAGUGGGUUGUGACGCGUGACCGUCACGUGACUGAUUGCGAAAUUCGACAUUUACUCGAAUCCAGUGCAAGUGAUGAAUCUGAUAAACUUUGUCAAUGAUUUGUCUGUCCUCGCUGAUCUAUGAACUAUAUAAUCAACUGGAAUAUCUAUAGGGCUAGGACUGAAGAAAGACUACAUAAAUAGGUGAUUACUAUGUGAUGCAAUUCCCCAUUUAAAUUGACUGUAGACUUAAACAGCUAUCAAACAUAAUAUUGAAACCAUGACUUACCGCCUUACCAUCCGUUGGUUGCACGCCUAACGAAUCUCUUCAGUGUAGAAUCUCAUUUUGCCAUCCAAUGAAGCUGCUGCAAGCUUAAAAAGUUAUCAUCUCGUUACACAUUGUUCGMAAGUGAUGCAGAAUGCAAUGGAGAAGAAAAUGGUUUAGAAGACACAGACAAWCGAGAGAAUAUAAAAUGAGUAAAUGAAAAAUAAAUGAGAAGUAGUAAUYAUAUGCAAAUCA